UGUAUCACUUACUCGGCACUAACAUAGAAAAGUGUUAACUAUGCCAUGAACAAUAGAUAAGUUUCUCGUCUAUGCCAUUUUACAUGACUCGUUUUCCGCCUGCCACACUGUCUACGGAAGAAGACCCCUUUGCCCUCAAAUAAGGGGACUCUUGAUGAAGCGUCGGGCUAGAGAAAAAAAAUUAAAAAGAAAAACCAAUUGUUCAUGAAGUGACUUAAAGCUGUAAGACCAGUUAAUUAUAGCCUUGGGGAAUGCAACCCUUCCACGAUUUAUUGAACCAAUUUUCUCUCCUCUUCUAAAAAAUCUCUUUAGUUUCCUUGUCUUCAAAUAAAAGAUCACCGUUGUUGCGACUUUUAACUUUCGUUCAUAUUCCGACAACCGUCGUACUAUUCCGAGAGCCAAUAAAGUGUUACAAACUCGAAACUGAUUGGCCAAUCCUCCACCUUUGGACCCGGCGACCGCGACAGGGGAAGUCUCGGAAACUCGUUCCGAAGUGAAAAACCCCGACGAUUGUGGUCUCUUUCAGAUAUCCGAUGCCGUAAUUAGUGAGGGAGAUCUUACUGACACUGCCGGACGCAGGUGUGAUGAAGAUGCUUGUGCUGGUAAUCCAAUUCCUCCCCAUUUCAGGCUACUUAUCUAGGGAUCUGUUAUACUCGGACGACACAAACCAACAACGAAGGUCGUGCAAGGUCGGAGAGGCUUCUACUGUUCAGCCAUCUUCUGAUUGAAAUUCCCCCAACGAAGCAGCCCCUUCUGGUAUCGGUGCUCCAUUGAUGGACCACACUCUGAACUCAAUGUCGGCGGAGGUCUCAGAAGCAGCUGCAAACGUAAGGGAUCCAUUAAUAGACAACAGUCCGAAUUCAAGGUACAUGUCCACCCAAUCUUUGUCUACCCGAACAUGUUUGUGAAUUAAACAAUAUUUAUGUUCAAGGUACAUGUCCACCCAAUCUUAAUAGACAACAGUUCGAAUUCAAGGUCGGUCGAUGUCUUAGAGACUGCUAAUGUCCAGCCAUCUUCGUAUUGUAAGUCUCCCAAUGAAGCAAACCCUUCUCUUAUUCGGGAUCCCUUAGUGGACAACAGUUUGUAUUCAAGGUACAUGUUCACCCCAUCUUUGUCUAUCAAACGUGUUUAGCUAUGAAAUACUGGAGAAUGUUUACCAGAAUGACAGGACCGACAAUUGUGGUCCACUGGCCGUAAAGUAUAUCGAGCUCCAUUCGCAAAAAAUCACGCCUGAAGGACUAACAUAAGAAAUGGUGGACCAACUACGUAUGUCCUACGAUGUUGAUGUCUACCAAGAGUUUGUUGUCUCACUAAAGAAUUGAACUUAUUAUGUCUACCUUAUGUUGGCCCUCUUCUUUUUUUCGGUCCUUUUGUUACGGUUAUGUACUUUGUCUUUCGUUCGCUACUACAUUUUGUCUUUUAAACAAAUGUUAGAAGAGUGGACCGACUUUACCUCAUUAUAACAAUUUAAUGCCCUUGCUUUAUCUAAACAAGUGCAUUAAAAGGCUACAAAACUUAAACACGCCUAACCUGCCAG
Camelina sativa (false flax) is the source of this 1537-nucleotide non-coding RNA. NCBI's taxonomy places the organism in Eukaryota, Viridiplantae, Streptophyta, Magnoliopsida, Brassicales, Brassicaceae. The record is from RefSeq and is a predicted model, not a curated record.